Molecule: long non-coding RNA, 622 nt
Filed under: Mustela putorius furo (domestic ferret)
Lineage: Eukaryota; Metazoa; Chordata; Mammalia; Carnivora; Mustelidae
Description: lncRNA (ENSMPUG00000032045.1)
Source: RNAcentral
AUUUAAAGUGAUGGCUGCAGCCAUUCCGGGGAGUUACUCACUUUUCCUGGGUCUCUGCCAUGUAUACAGGAGAGAGAGAGCAGGAGCACAUGGAGAGGCAGAGACAGAGAGAAUCUCAAGCAGACCCCUGCUGAGCGCAGAGCCAGAGUCAGGGCUCCAUCCCAGGACCCUGAGAUCAUGACCUGAGACGGAAUCAAGAAUUGGACAGACGCUUAACCGACUGAGCCAUGCAGGUAUCCCUGCUUGAGGUAUUUUAAAGUUGUGUUAAUAAGUUCAUAAACAUUUAUGAUUUAUACAUUAUUGAUGAAUGGACUGCUUUAUCAUUAGGAAAUGACCCUCUUUAUCCCUGGUUUUAUUUUUUGCUCUGAAAUCUAGUUUGAUAUUAACGAAACCACUCCAGCUUUAUUUUGAUUAGUAUUGGCACAGUAUAUAGUUCCCCAUGCUUUCACUUUUAGCCUGUAUGCAUUUUUUUAAAAAGACUUAACUUAUUUUAGGGAUGCCUGGGUGGGCCAGUGGGUUAAAUCCUCUGCUUUCGGCUCAGGUUGUGAUUCCCAGUGUCUUGGGAUCGAGCCCCAUGUCGGGCUCUCUGCUUGACGGGAGCCUGCUUCCCCUUCUCUCUCUC